GGGGGUAUAGCUCAGGGGUAGAGCGCUCGCUUCGCAUGCGAGCAGUCUGGGGCUCGAUUCCCCAAACCUCAA
Molecule: non-coding RNA, 72 nt
Organism: Angiostrongylus costaricensis
Lineage: Eukaryota; Metazoa; Nematoda; Chromadorea; Rhabditida; Metastrongylidae
Source: Rfam